UGAGGAAUAUUGGUCAAUGGGCGCAAGCCUGAACCAGCCAAGUAGCGUGAAGGAUGACUGCCCUAUGGGUUGUAAACUUCUUUUAUGCGGGAAUAACCUCGACCAUGUAUGGUCGUUUGCAUGUACCGCAAGAAAAAGCAUCGGCUAAUUCCGUGCCAGCAGCCGCGGUAAUACGGAAGAUGCGAGCGUUAUCCGGAUUUAUUGGGUUUAAAGGGAGCGUAGGCGGACUAUCAAGUCAGUUGUGAAAGUCAUCGGCUCAACCGCUGAAUUGCAGUUGAAACUGGUAGUCUUGAGUGCACAUGAGGAUGGUGGAAUUCGUAGUG
RNAcentral lists this ribosomal RNA (323 nucleotides) under uncultured Bacteroides sp. RNAcentral's name for it is "bacterial SSU rRNA". It matches the Rfam family "Bacterial small subunit ribosomal RNA", at positions 355 to 675 of the family's 1533-position model. The record is from RNAcentral. Lineage: Bacteria; Pseudomonadati; Bacteroidota; Bacteroidia; Bacteroidales; Bacteroidaceae.